Molecule: long non-coding RNA, 933 nt
Organism: Eriocheir sinensis (Chinese mitten crab)
Lineage: Eukaryota; Metazoa; Arthropoda; Malacostraca; Decapoda; Varunidae
Exons: 4
Source: RefSeq, a predicted model, not a curated record
GUGAAAAUGAGCCUAGAACUAGUUGUGAUCGCGUGAACUUAUACCAAAUACAUAUGAACGUGUGAACUUGUAGAAGAGCAUCGCGAACUUGAAUAAAACAACAAACAGGUACAUCAAACGUCCAUCAAGACCUCCAGGUAGAAACAGUGUCAUUCCGUUGUGUACGUUCCACAAGCCUUCCAUCUCCUCCUCCUCCUCCUCCUCCUCACGGUUCUCCAUCGCUGCGUCCGUUUUUUGUGCGUGUUUUUGUGCGUGUGUUAGUGGAAGACAGAAAACUCAAACGUACUUCACCCUCGCCCCCACGUCCUCACAUUUGCGCGUGUCUCCGUCUGUUCCUGCCACGCCCUGCCCCUCCUCCUCCUCUUGUCUUCCUCCUCGUCCCCGCCGCCCCCUUCCAGCGUCGCAGCGAUAAGGUUGGUGGCUGGGAGGGUGGUUGAGUGUCUGUUCAUCUGUCUGUCUGUCUGUUUGGUUGUUCUGGUGGGAGGAAGAGGCAGCAACAACGACAGCAACAACAACAACAACAACAACAACAACAACAACAACAAUGGCUGUAUGUAUGUCUGUUUGAGUGGAUGGUUGACUGGAUGGCUGGCUGACUGGUUGGCUGGGUUACUGGUUGGCUGCGUGGCUGGUUGGCUGGGAGACUGAUUGGGUGUCUGGCUGGUUGACUGGCAGGCUGGUUGGUUGGGUGACUGGAUGGCUGUGUGGCUGGUUGACUGGCUCGCUGGUUGGUUGGGUGACUGGAUGGCUGUGUGUCUGGUUGAUUGGGUGAUUGGAUGGCUGUGUGGCUGGUUGGUUGGGUAACUGGUUGACUGGCUCCCUGGUUGGCUGUCUGGCUGGUUGGUUGGCUGGCUGGUUGGUUGGGUGACUGGUUGGCUGUCUGGCUGGUUGGUUGGGUGACUGGUUGACUGUCUGGCUGUCUGGCUGGGAGAC